UACGAAGGGUGCAAGCGUUACUCGGAAUUACUGGGCGUAAAGCGUGCGUAGGUGGUUCGUUAAGUCUGAUGUGAAAGCCCUGGGCUCAACCUGGGAAUGGCAUUGGAAACUGGCGAUCUAGAGUGCGGUAGUGGGUAGUGGAAUUCCCGGUGUAGCAGUGAAAUGCGUAGAGAUCGGGAGGAACAUCUGUGGCGAAGGCGACUGCCUGGACCAGCACUGACACUGAGGCACGAAAGCGUGGGGAGCAAACAGG
RNAcentral lists this ribosomal RNA (253 nucleotides) under uncultured bacterium. Its description in RNAcentral is "partial 16S ribosomal RNA". It matches the Rfam family "Bacterial small subunit ribosomal RNA", at positions 524 to 776 of the family's 1533-position model. The record is from RNAcentral.